Molecule: ribosomal RNA, 253 nt
Filed under: uncultured bacterium
Lineage: Bacteria
Description: partial 16S ribosomal RNA
Rfam family: Bacterial small subunit ribosomal RNA
Source: RNAcentral
UACGGAGGGUGCGAGCGUUGUCCGGAAUCACUGGGCGUAAAGCGCACGUAGGCGGCUUUGUAAGUUAGAGGUGAAAGCCCGGGGCUCAACUCCGGAAUUGCCUUUAAGACUGCAUCGCUAGAAUUGUGGAGAGGUGAGUGGAAUUCCGAGUGUAGAGGUGAAAUUCGUAGAUAUUCGGAAGAACACCAGUGGCGAAGGCGACUCACUGGACACAUAUUGACGCUGAGGUGCGAAAGCGUGGGGAGCAAACAGG